Molecule: ribosomal RNA, 182 nt
Filed under: uncultured bacterium
Lineage: Bacteria
Description: partial 16S ribosomal RNA
Rfam family: Bacterial small subunit ribosomal RNA
Source: RNAcentral
CCGACUCCAUGAAGCUGGAUUCGCUAGUAAUCGCGCAUCAGCCACGGCGCGGUGAAUACGUUCCCGGGCCUUGUACACACCGCCCGUCAAGCCAUGGAAGCCGGGGGGUGCCUGAAGUGCGCUGCCGCAAGGAGCGCCCUAGGGUAAAACCGGUGACUGGGGCUAAGUCGUAACAAGGUAAC